AAAACAGUUGCUAGAGCGUCCGCUACCAUGGCCAUGAAGUGAUAGUAACGACGUCGUUUUACCUGGACCAAAAAUUUUACAGUGCAGUGUUUGACAUGGCGAUGGGUGUCGGUGGUGAAGACAGGUACGAGAACGACGUCGUUUUUCGUCAGCUUGUUUGGUGGGGAGGGAAGGAAAAAAAAUUUGGACCAUUUCUCGAUUUGUGCGUGUCAUCCUUGCGCAGGGGCCAUGCUAAUCUUCUCUGUAUCGUUCCAAUUUUAUCGGAUGUCUCCGAAGAGACAAGCUUCAGUAGGAGAGCUGGAUAAUAUGAAGACACUAAUUUAUUGGUGAAGUUUCGAUGUGGGAUGAGAGAAGUGACGGGGGAUGUUGGGUAUGGGAUGCCCAAAACGUUGUCGUUUCACAUGACCUGCAGCGCCUGAUGGAGUUCAUGGGGUCCCCAAUCUUAAGGUAAGGGUUGCUUCUCUUGUUUCUUUGUUUGGUCGUGGAUACGUUCUGUUCGUUUAUUUCUUUAAUUCUUAGUUGUACUUAUAUUUUGAACUUUGAUUUAGGAUAUUGGUUUGGGUUGAACUUUGAUUUAGUCUAGGUUUCAGAGUCGAAGAUGAAUCAGUGAGACUGUUGGUGUUGAAGCUAAUAAAUGAUUAUGCUUUAGUGUGUCUUAGGAUAGAAAGGAUUAUGGGUUUCUAUGAUUUCUCAAUCCUUCUUUAUAGUUUCCUUUUUUCUAUAAAUAAUUCUAUUCAUGUUUCUGAUCAAAGACAGAUUACCUUGUUCACACACAAAAAUCAUAUAGAGAGGGAGUUCCGUGUCAACUAUCUCUUGAUCAUCUAGUUCUGGGUUCAUAACCUUUAUGGUGUAUGCUCCUUGUUCUAAUUUGUGACAUAUGCUUAGACCUGCCAUCUCAAGGUUCUCAAUUGAAUUUGAGGUUGUUUGAGCCAGCACCAAGUAGGGUAUGGUUGGGGAUUUGGUCCUUUCUUUCCCAGCAAGUAUAAUUGAUUUUGCAGGGGCAAGUUGCUGAGGCCAUAGCGUGUUCAUAUGUUUGACAGAGAAUGGUCUGGAAUGGAAAAAAACAUGGGAGAAAAUGAGAAAAAAAUUUGGACUAUUUCUCGAUGUGCUAAUCUUCUCUGUAUCGAUCCAAUUUUAUUCCGAAGAGACGAGCUGAUAUGGGUGAGCUGGACAAUAUCCAGACACCAGUUUAUUUGUAAAGUUUCGAUGUGGGACAGUGGGUACGGGAUGCCCAAAACAUUAUCGUUUCACAUGACCUGUAUCGCCUAAGGGAGUUCAUGGGGGUCCACAGCCUGAAAGUGAGGAUCUCUGUUCACUUCUCAGUUCUCAUUGCUUUUCUUGUUUCUUUAUUUGUUUGUGGGUAUAUUCUCUAUUUGUUUAUUGGACAAUGAAUGAAAGGAAAAUUUCAAUUCUAUUUGGUUUUUUAUUGAGCAAAAUUGGAAGAAAAGAUAUCCCCAAAAUUUGGGGAAAAUUUAUGGAACCAACAAAUUGGUGAGAAAAUCUGGGAGAAGAGUGGAUGAAAAUUUUAUUGGGUUCAAAUUUGUAUUUUAUUUUAUUUUUGCCACAUUUUUUCCCCUUGUGCUUCACUUUCGUUUCCUUUACAGUUUCCUGAGAACCAAACAACCUGUAAUUAUUGUUAUGAUCACUGUUUUCGGUAUACAAUUAUUAAACCAAACUGUUAAGCAAUGAGCUAUUGUUAUUGUUACAGUCAUUUUAUUGGUACAGAAUUAUCUAAAGGAAACUGUUAAUCAGGGUUCUAUCUUUUAUGAGUUUCUUACACUGACAAUAAUUGGUAAACUGCAUGGUUGUUUAAUAUUUUUCCUUAUUCAAGUUUUCUCAUGAAUGGAUGUUUGCAGAUAUGGGGUUAAGAUGCAUUGUGUCUAGGGCUCUGGGUAGUAAAUUUCAGAAUAAGUUGGAGUAUUGGUUGGUUUAGUGAUGGUUGAAAUGUUAUUUUCCUUGUUCAAAUCUUUUCAAAAUGGAUGUUUGCAGAAUUCAAUGGGAAUUGUUUUGGUUUAGGGCUUAUGGUAUUACAUAUUGGGUCUCGGUAGGUUAGUUUGGUGUCAUUUGGCUUAGGAUUAAUUUUAUGGUCUCAGAGUAUUUGUGUUUCUGUUUUCUGAAUAGUCUCUUUACUAAGAGAUUUUCAUUCCAUGAGAUGGAUUAUAGCACAAAACUACCUUCCAGAAUUCAAUCACCAGUUAUAGAAACAUGAAUUAUGUGAGUAGGUUUAACUUUUGCAGGAAUGCAGGAGAAGGACGUUGUGUUACUUUUACCUGGAGAAAGGUCUUGUUUGGUGGGGAGGAAAGAAAAAAAAAUUUGGACCAUUUCUCGAUUUGUGCGUGUCAUCCUUGCGCAGGGGCCAUGCUAAUCUUCUCUGUAUCGUUCCAAUUUUAUCGGAUGUCUCCUAAGAGACAAGCUUUAAUAGUGGAGUUUCAAUAUAUGAGGAAACAUAUCUGGUCUUAAAGUUUCGAUGUGGGAUGGGAAUGGGGAUGUCAAGACCCCCGGCUGCCCAAAACGAUGCCGUUUCACUCAACCUGCACCGCCUUUAUGUGGGUCCACAACCUGAAAGUGAGGGUUACUUUUCUUGUUUCUUUAUUUGAUUGUGGAUAUGUUCUGCUUCUUUACUUCUUCAUUUGUUUGUUAUACUUAUAUUUUCAUCUUAUAGACAAUCAAAGGAAAACAUCCAACUCUAUUUGGUUUUUUACUCAACAAAAUUGGAAGAACAUAUUGUCAAAAUUUGGGGAAAAUUUAUGCAACCAAAAAAUUGAUGAGAAAAGUUGGGAGAGCUGAGAGGGAAUGAAAAAUUUAUUGGGUUCAAAUUUCCAUCACUUUUAUUUCUGUCACAGUUUCCAGAGAACCAAACAACCUGUAAUUAAUGUUAUGAUCAUCGUUUUGGGCAUACAAUUAUUUAAAGUAAACUGUUAACCUAUGACCUAUUGUUGUUGUUUUAUUGGUACAGAUUUCUCUACAGGAAACUGUUAGUCAGAGACCUUUCUUUUAUACGAGUUUCAUGCAUUGACAUUCGGUGGUAAAAUGGAGGGUUGUUUCAAGUUUUCACAUGAAUGGGUGUUUGGAGGUAUGGGUUUAAGAGGUAUUUAGUUUUGGGCUUUGGGUACUAAAAUUCCUGUAUUAGUUGGGUUAGUGUUGGUUGAAAUGUUAGUUUCCUCGUUCAAGUAUUUCCACAAUGAAUGUUUGCAGAAUUCAGUGGGAAUUGUUUUUGUUUAGUGUUUAGGGUAUUACAUUUUGGAUAUCUAUUGAUUAGUUUGAUGUCAUUUAGCGUCGGAUUAAUUUUAUGGUUUCAGAGUAUUGUGUUUAUGUUUUCUGAAUAAUCUCUUGGUAAGAGAUUUUCAUUCCAUGAAAUGGAUUGGACCACAAAACUUGACCAAAAAAAAAGAAGGAAAAAUAAAAAUAAUAUAACUUUGAACACCUUAUCUCCAGUUAUAGAAACAUGAGAUAUGCUGAGUAGGUUCAACUUUCACUAACUAGCCUUAGGUUUUCAAAUUAACAAUGUUUCAUCGUAACUCCUAUGUUCAUACUUCAUACAGUUCCUUAGCUGAAGUUCUGAGGUUGAGCUCUUACUCUUUGGGCAGUCUUAACAAAUUUAGAAAGCUGCAACAUGGAUGACCUGCGGAAGUAAUAUGGGUUUGGGUUCAUUUGCUGUACUCUGUAUAUAGUAUAGCAAAGGAAUUCAUGGGUAGUUUCCACUGUGGGACAAUUUGUGAUUGACAGCAAAUUUUCCAUAUUUUAAGGAAAAAAAGGAAUUAUUUAAUUGAUGCUUGUUUGAAAGAGAGAUGGUAAUUCUUAUGCCUACAUAGUUAGAAUUAUGUUGCUUUGGGAAAGAAGAGUUUUGGUCUGCAUUUGAACUAAGCCGUAAUAGAAGCCUGAAAGAGGUGAGAUAAUAACAUUCUGUUGGAGAAAGAUUUAACAACUAUGCUUUAUUUGGUGUCUUGGGAUAGGAGAGGGUUAUGGGGAUAUGCCCAUUGGUUACAAUGUGGGCUGCUCCUUUGCUUGGAAAACCAGGCUGAUAAAGGUGGUCAAGGUAAUCUCAUCAGUUGCCCUUUUUAACGACUUAACUAUCCUUGAGUUUCUCCAGAUUUUACUUGGGUUAUUCUACUCUGCAGUAUUGUUUCUGGGUUGCAUGUUGGGCAUUUGUCCUCUGUUUUUUUACCUUCUCUUCCUAUCCUGUAUUUCUUUUUCUUUGAAGGUUCUCUCAUCCUUCUUUAUCAUUACAUUUUCUCUUUUCGGGAUUACUAAUUAUAUUCGUGCUGCUGAUGAAAGAAUGAUUCCAUCUUUCAGACACUCAAAUCUUGACAGAUUAUUGGCUGAUGGUGACUUCUUGCCUAACAACAGAAUCACAUAAAGGGAGAUUGCUUUCAACCAUCCUGUUAUCAUAUUGUUCACAAUUCAUAACCUUGUAGCAGUCAAUCCACGAGCUUUGUUUGGAUGGCCAAACACAUUAUUCAAGGAAAUGACUUGAAUAUACUUCUGCUUAUAUUUGAAUGUGGUCCCUUUCUUCCCUUAGAUUCAUUUUUAGAUUUAUAGUUGCCACAAAGGACAACACGAUGUCCAUUUUCUUUUUGCCUCUCAGGCAAGUGUAAGACCCAAAGUUUUUAUAGGUCAGGUUUCAAAUGUUGUUAAACUGGUUUAAACCUGCGACCUCAAGCUUUCAAUUGAACUGGGCUUGCAUGAGUCAAGACCGAGUUGGCUAUGAUUGGAGAUUGAAUCCUUCUUUUCCCUCUUUGUUUUUCUAAGAUGUACUAUUCAUUUUUUCCUGGCAACUGGCUAAGGCUUUGAUUGACCAUAGUUCAGUUCAUGUUUCAGAGAAAUGGCUGGUUCUGAAGCAGAGAUAGGCUCUGUAAUGUAAUUUGUUCAUAGUUGUUGAAAGUGUUCUUGAUUUGGGGAGAAAAAGAAAAAAAAAUUUGGACCAUUUCUCGAUUUGUGCGUGUCAUCCUUGCGCAGGGGCCAUGCUAAUCUUCUCUGUAUCGUUCCAAUUUUAUCGGAUGUCUCUGAAGAGACAAGCUUUGGUGGGAGAGCUGAUAGAUAUGAAGACAUUGCUGGCUUCAUAAUUGUUCGAUGUGGGAAUGGAAUUUUGGAUGAACCAAACUUAAAAGGAGAACAGCAUGGGCCCACAACCAGUAGAGUUUUUGAUCGGAACCUUAGUGGAAGGCCUGAAAAGAGGUGAAAUCACAAGGCGUUCCUAACCUUAUGGUGGAUGAGACAGAAUUUAAUGACAAAGCUUUCUUGGGUGUCUCAGGAAAAGGAGGUUAUGGAGAUAUAUACCCAUUGAUUUGAACCAGGGGGCUGAUAAGAUGGUGAAAGGCCUCUCAUCAAUUACCCGUGUUUGGGGAGUUUCUCCCGAGAUUUUCCCAUGUUUGGCUUGGAUUAUAGUGGUAGAUGUGUAUUGUUUCUGCGAAUCAAUUUUUGGGUGUUCAUUCUUUGUCUUCCUCCUCUCUCCUCUCUCCUCUCUCCUCAUCCUCUUCUACACCCAUAUCUAUGAAGGAUCUCUCUUUCUGCAUCGUAGUUAUGUUUUCUCUGUAUAUAAUUCUAUCUGGGUUUCUUGCAGAAUAGGUUACAUCUUUCAAACACUGAACUGAGAGAUUAUUGUUUGGUGGUGAUAGGUAAUGAUGAAAAUACCUAUAAUUAUAUCGA
Long non-coding RNA from Vitis vinifera (wine grape), 5646 nucleotides. RefSeq lists it as uncharacterized. The transcript is spliced from 2 exons. The record is from RefSeq and is a predicted model, not a curated record. Lineage: Eukaryota; Viridiplantae; Streptophyta; Magnoliopsida; Vitales; Vitaceae.